Molecule: long non-coding RNA, 316 nt
Filed under: Gallus gallus (chicken)
Lineage: Eukaryota; Metazoa; Chordata; Aves; Galliformes; Phasianidae
Source: RNAcentral
CUACCAUAUUCUUUCUGUCAGUUUGAACAGCAGAAAAUACUGGAGACCUCUGAGUACCUUGGUUAUCAAACAGUUUGGAAUUGGAGUCAGAUUCCUGUAGUAUUUUUGAAGACCUCAAACUGCACUGCGGUGGCUCAACAGACUUUUGAGACUGGGAGAAACACUGUGGUUCUAUUAAGGGAGAGGAUUCUUCAUCUGAUUCACCACACACGGCUCCACUCUCUGCUUGGACCCCAUUACUGUCAUCUGCUUGGGAUUCCAUGCAGUUGCUUCUCUGUUGGUGAGACUGCUGUGAAAAUACGGUAUGAGAUGGGCC